AAAUUGAAGAGUUUGAUCAUGGCUCAGAUUGAACGCUGGCGGCAGGCCUAACACAUGCAAGUCGAACGGUAACAGGAAGCAGCUUGCUGUUUUGCUGACGAGUGGCGGACGGGUGAGUAAUGUCUGGGAAACUGCCUGAUGGAGGGGGAUAACUACUGGAAACGGUAGCUAAUACCGCAUAACGUCGCAAGACCAAAGAGGGGGACCUUCGGGCCUCUUGCCAUCGGAUGUGCCCAGAUGGGAUUAGCUAGUAGGUGGGGUAA
Molecule: ribosomal RNA, 263 nt
Filed under: Escherichia coli
Lineage: Bacteria; Pseudomonadati; Pseudomonadota; Gammaproteobacteria; Enterobacterales; Enterobacteriaceae
Description: partial 16S ribosomal RNA
Rfam family: Bacterial small subunit ribosomal RNA
Source: RNAcentral